Molecule: ribosomal RNA, 765 nt
Filed under: Triticum aestivum (bread wheat)
Lineage: Eukaryota; Viridiplantae; Streptophyta; Magnoliopsida; Poales; Poaceae
Description: partial small subunit ribosomal RNA
Source: RNAcentral
AUGUACCGCGAACGGCAUACUUUAAUAAUUUAUGAUGAUCUCUCCAAACAGGCACAAGCUUAUCGCCAAAUGUCCCUUCUAUUAAGAAGACCUCCCGGCCGUGAGGCUUAUCCAGGGGAUGUUUUUUAUUUGCAUUCACGCCUUUUAGAAAGAGCCGCUAAAUUAAAUUCUCUUUUAGGCGAAGGAAGUAUGACCGCUUUACCAAUAGUUGAGACUCAAUCUGGAGACGUUUCCGCCUAUAUUCCUACUAAUGUAAUCUCCAUUACAGAUGGACAAAUAUUCUUAUCUGCGGAUCUAUUCAAUGCCGGAAUUCGACCCGCUAUUAAUGUGGGUAUUUCUGUUUCCAGAGUAGGAUCCGCGGCUCAAAUUAAAGCCAUGAAACAAGUAGCUGGCAAAUCAAAAUUGGAACUAGCUCAAUUCGCAGAGUUACAGGCCUUUGCACAAUUCGCCUCUGCUCUCGAUAAAACAAGUCAGAAUCAAUUGGCAAGGGGUCGACGAUUAAGGGAAUUGCUUAAACAAUCCCAGGCAAAUCCUCUCCCAGUGGAAGAGCAGAUAGCUACUAUUUAUACCGGAACAAGAGGAUAUCUUGAUUCGUUAGAAAUUGAACAGGUAAAUAAAUUUCUGGAUGAGUUACGUAAACAUCUAAAAGAUACUAAACCUCAAUUCCAAGAAAUUAUAUCUUCUAGCAAGACAUUCACCGAGCAAGCGGAAAUCCUUUUGAAGGAAGCUAUUCAGGAACAGCUGGAACGGUUUUCUCUUCAGUAA